UGGGGAAUAUUGCACAAUGGGGGAAACCCUGAUGCAGCGACGCCGCGUGAAGGAAGAAGUAUCUCGGUAUGUAAACUUCUAUCAGCAGGGAAGAAAAUGACGGUACCUGACUAAGAAGCCCCGGCUAACUACGUGCCAGCAGCCGCGGUAAUACGUAGGGGGCAAGCGUUAUCCGGAUUUACUGGGUGUAAAGGGAGCGUAGACGGAAGGGCAAGUCUGGAGUGAAAGCCCGGGGCUCAACCCCGGGACUGCUUUGGAAACUGUCCGUCUUGAGUGCCGGAGAGGUAAGCGGAAUUCCUAGUGUAGCGGUGAAAUGCGUAGAUAUUAGGAGGAACACCAGUGGCGAAGGCGGCUUACUGGACGGUAACUGACGUUGAGGCUCGAAAGCGUGGGGAGCAAACA
This 402-nucleotide ribosomal RNA is filed under the name uncultured bacterium. RNAcentral's name for it is "bacterial SSU rRNA". It matches the Rfam family "Bacterial small subunit ribosomal RNA", at positions 355 to 774 of the family's 1533-position model. The record is from RNAcentral.